Molecule: ribosomal RNA, 459 nt
Filed under: uncultured bacterium
Lineage: Bacteria
Description: partial 16S ribosomal RNA
Rfam family: Bacterial small subunit ribosomal RNA
Source: RNAcentral
CCUACGGGUGACAGCAGUGAGGAAUAUUGGUCAAUGGGCGGAAGCCUGAACCAGCCAAGUAGCGUGCGGGAUGAAGGCCCUACGGGUCGUAAACCGCUUUUGCACGGGGAUAACACCCUCCCCUUGUGGAGGUCGGCAGGUACCGUGUGAAUAAGGGCAGGCUAAUUCCGUGCCAGCCGCCGCGGUAACCCGGAAAGCCCGAGCGUUAUCCGGAUUCAUUGGGCUUAAAGGGAGCGUAGGCGGGCGUUCAAGUCAGCUGUAAAAUCGCGCGGCUCAACCGCUCCCCGCAGUUGAAACUGGACGCCUUGAGUUCACAACAGGCAGGCGGAAUUCGUGGUGUAGCGGUGAAAUGCAUAGAUAUCACGAGGAACCCCGAUUGCGAAGGCAGCCUGCCGGGGUGCGACUGACGCUGAGGCUCGAAGGUGCGGGUAUCAAACAGGAUUAGAUCCCCUUGUAGUC